Molecule: small nucleolar RNA, 268 nt
Organism: Dasypus novemcinctus (nine-banded armadillo)
Lineage: Eukaryota; Metazoa; Chordata; Mammalia; Cingulata; Dasypodidae
Source: Ensembl
CCGGCUGAUGACACUAAGGCGAAUGCGACUCCGUGCUCUAUGACCCUUGGUUCCCUGGGGAAUGAGGGUUAGGGAUGGGAUCUGAAAUCUUAGUGGGGGUACCUGAGACCUGGCUCCCCACUGUAAGGCCAGAUCAAUAGCACUGCUGGCCUUGCCUCCAUUGCUGCUGCUGUCCCCAGUUCCCAGCAGCUGCCUGCAGGGGGGCCCACACGUGGGAACCAAAGUAAGGCUAAGCACGGGCCAUCUGAGCGCAACCUUGAAUCUGACA